Non-coding RNA from Rattus norvegicus (Norway rat), 139 nucleotides. Ensembl annotates it as Nuclear RNase P. The record is from Ensembl. NCBI's taxonomy places the organism in Eukaryota, Metazoa, Chordata, Mammalia, Rodentia, Muridae.
CUCCUGCAGCUCUAACCAGGCUUUCCCUGAGUUGGGAGGUGAGUUCCCAGAGAGCAGGGAUUCAUGCCUGGACAAACUGGACAGAAGAGGCCCCAAGUGGGCAAAUGUAUGCCUCACGUGAGCUUGCAACAGACUUCUG